AUUUUUCUUAGUCGUCUCCUCGUGCUCCGCUUUGUGUGUCAGAGUUUCUGCCAAUCUUCUCGGUGAAGAGCCUCUUGGAUUUCAUCUUGAUAACAUAUCCUACACAAUAGCAAGGUCUCCAUAUGAGCAUCCUUUAGCAACCAAGGCACAAGGAAUCUUCGUUUAUGACGGAUAUAAGUCUCAGUUUGUGAUAAGGCUUCAUCAAAUACUGAAGUCCAUCAAAUGUAUCUGCUUCAACGGAGAAGCAUGUGUCUCCUCCGGCAGUGAAGUGUCCCCCGUACCUCUUGCGAAACGGCGGAGAAGAUGAGGAGCCUCGUGGUAUCUGUCUUGAUCCUGGGCGCUUUGUCCGGAAUGGAGUCACAGAAGCUGGAUUCUUUUCUCUGGAGGACUACUGUGAAUUCCUUGGCAAGCAGCGUCUUCAGUCCCCAGUCUCCUUCGGCAGAGCGAUCGGCCCUUCGCCAGCCGGACGCGAGGCACAGGCGGAAGCGACAGUCGGAUGAGUGGGAGUAUGAAAUCACUGCGACUACAUCGACAAUAACAGUAACAUUUACUAACAAGCCGAUAAAUGCACAGUACUGGAUGGAUGUGUACGAAUCCGCAACACAACGAAUUGCAGUAAGAACAGAAUGGAAGAUAAAAGGGACAAUCACUUUUAAGAACCUGGUUCCUAGCACGGAAUAUGUAAUAACUGUUCAUAAGACUCCCCCAAUCUUUUCCAUCCGCCACAUGACCAAGAAACGCAUGUCUGUCAUCGGCUCAACACCGACUAGCAUCACGCUUUAUUUCCAAGAAAAGCCAAGCCGAGAUCGCUACAAUGCCUUCGCCACGAGAUCUGGAUCGCAGCAACCGGCUUCCUCCGUUGGUGUGGUGUCGGAUAAGGCGACGCUGACGAACUUGCAGCCUGGCACCGAGUAUGAGGUAUCAGUGACUUACUCGGGCAAAGAGGAAAAGUUAACCUUUAAAACUCUAGCUUCCAUUUCACUCCAUUUGAGUCUGAAGCCACCAGACAGUGUUGAAGCCCGUUGGUCACAUCCAGGUGAAGCUUCACUCACGUACUAUUUAAGCUACACGAUUGAUUUCCAUGCCUGUCGUAAUUACGUCAUCAACGGGGAUCGCAUAUCUGUGACUGGAUCAGGUCGACAUGUGCAGCCGGCUGUCCCCCCUUAUGCCGCAUGUGAAAUGUGUAUUGAAGUCUUUGGUGAAGUGAGAAGUGCUAAAGAGUGUAAAACCAUUGAUACACCUGCGGGACUCCCAGAAAGCAAGAUAGAGCGAAUUACCUGCAACGGAAAAUGGACUUGCAAUCUACUCUUCGAAAAUGACUGCACGCUCAUCCGCGGACCGAACCUAUGUGCCUUUUACAAAUUUUCUGGCCCAGGAGACAGCGAGCAAUCAUGGCAAAGGAAGUGCGAUCAAAGCUUUGCUAGUAACCGUGUCUCAAUCACGGUCAACAGGCCUCAAAACCUGCUUCCGUAUACGACCUACAGCCUCACUGCCUUUCCCGCAACUGAAACGGAGGUGAAUUCGAGGAACGAUCUGAAAGGAUUCACAACAUUCACCACUCCUUCGAAAGCUCCUGGGAAGGUCACGGAUCUGAAGGUGUCAGCCGCUGCCCACUCCCUCACUCUGACCUGGUUCGACCCUUCCGACAACCCCCUCAGGGGCAAACUUUUAAGGUUCAGAGUAACAUGGAACCGUGGAACCAGGGUGGGGACAAGCUCGUAUAUAGACCUGCCCUUGUCCGAAGUCCCCGAGGGCAAAGAGGGACGACGAUCCCACACCAUUACGGACCUGGAGGCUGGCGAAGAUUACUACGUAGAGGUUUUGGCUCAGAAUGCUGGUGUGCAGAGCUUCGGAGAUCCCAAUGGUCUAGCAACGAGGACUCUACACGGAGUGCCUUCACCGCCGCGGAGUGUCAAUUACAGCAUCUCAGAUGGUCAGGUUUCCCUGUCAUGGGAGCCUUCUGUGGAUAUGGCCGGGGGACUCGUCUUCUAUGUCGUCGUGCUGGACGGACGCAACCUUUCUUGCGCUGCUGAUGCCAGUGCAGACCUCGAAUGUCUGCUGGAAGGUUUAACAGCAGGUGAGGAACAUGUGGUGACUGUGAGGGCAUGCAACAGUUACCAUUGCAGUGAUUCUGAACAGCUAACAGUGAUUGGACCUGGUGUUAAGAGUGAAUAUAUCAUCCUCCCUGUGGUACUGCUUCUCCUUUUGCUGUGUCUGAUAAUCUUUCUGAUAGUCUGGUAUCGGCGCAAACCAUCAACUUCGAAGGAGUUGCUGGUUGAAAUGACACGUGACGAGGGGCCCGGCAUUUCCCUUGAACUGGCGGAGAGCCCAGCCGGUGAGCAGGAGGAGCUGGUCCUCGAACAAGGCUCGCCCGAGGGGGACCCCACCUACGAAAACCUCGCCCGGAAGAUCACCAAGGCUGACCUCAACACGUACCUCACUCGUGCAGUCAACUCGCAGGACUUGGCCGACGAGUUCAAAAGCGUGCCGUCCAUCAUGAAGAAGAGCUGUUCAGACGCCGAAAUCCCGAUGAACAGGCAGAAGAACAGAUACAAGAACAACUUACCUUACAAUGACACGAGAGUUGCCUUGCCGUUUUUGCCCAACGUGCCGCACUCAGACUACAUCAACGCCAGCUAUGUUAACAGCUACCAGCGCGACCGGGCCUUCAUCGCCAGCCAGGGACCCAAGGACUUCGCCGUCAACACCAUCGACGACUUCUGGCGCAUGAUCUGGCACACGGGCGCCCGCGUGGUCGUCAUGGUGACCCGACUCGUCGAGGGCGGCCGGGUCAAAGUAGCCCAGUACUGGCCCGAGAAGGAACCCAUGUUCAAGGGCGGCCUCGAGAUCCACCUGAAGAAGGAGAAAGUGAAGAUGGACUUCGUGGUGAGAACACUUUGCAUUCGGCUUGACCACGAGGAGAGAGAGGUGAAACAGUACCAGUUCUUGGCCUGGCCCGACCAUGGCGUCCCCUUGCACGCCUACAGCCUGGCGCAGAUGGUGGCCAACAUCCGGGCGGAGGACAUGAGCGACGGACCGCUUCUCGUGCACUGCAGCGCUGGCAUAGGACGCACGGGCACCAUCCUGCUGGUGCUGCACGCGCUCGACCAGCUGGAGGCGGCGGGUCUUGUGAGCAUGCGCGACGGCCUCCUUGAGCUCAGGAAGGCGCGUCCUCUGCUCGUCGAGAACGUGGUGCAGUACAGAUUCGCCCACCAACUCCUGCACGAGAUUCUCUGCGGGGAGACGACAAGCAUCCCCUGCGGCAGUUUCCUGGAGGAGCUGGAGAGACUGAGGACGCCGCAGACCCCAGGAGGCACCUCUGUCCUCCAGGAACAGUACCAGAGACUGAGGGACUUCCCGAAGGGCCUGACCUUUUCCUUCGCCAAGAGACCGGAAUUCGCCCACCUCAAUCGAGACCCUGAGAUCGUCCCAGCGGAUGGCAGGAUGAUCUUCCUCUACGUGCUGACCAGCGACUCUUGCUCUCAGUACAUCAACGCCACUUUCGUCAACGGAUUCGACAAAAAGGACGAAUUCGUAGCGAUGGAGCACCCGAUGGAGCACACCCUUGACACGGCCUGGAGGAUGAUCUACGAGAGGAAGAUGCCGGUCUGGAUCCUCGUCCACGCCUUCCCCGAUCACGACAAGGUGCGCGCGUUGGGGAGCGGCUGGAUUUCCCGAGCGUGCUUCCUCCCGCCGGAGAGGUGUGGGACCUGAAGAACAUGAGGGUGGAAGUCAUCAGUAGUCAGUUGUAUAACAACUUCAGUGAGGCAACCGUCCAAGUGUCGUUCGUGAAUAAUGAGAAGGUGAUGGGCAGCCACCGUUGUGCCGUGCUGCAGGCGGAGGGCUGGCCUGCCGACGUCGCCUUGCCCUCGUCCCCGCUGCCCCUUCUCGCCGUCCUGGAGCGCCUCGACUCCCUCCCGCGGACGGGCGGCCCUCC
RNAcentral lists this unclassified non-coding RNA (3937 nucleotides) under Penaeus chinensis. RNAcentral describes it as "receptor-type tyrosine-protein phosphatase epsilon- like, transcript variant X3". Lineage: Eukaryota; Metazoa; Arthropoda; Malacostraca; Decapoda; Penaeidae. The record is from RNAcentral.